CGCCCUUAGCUCAGCUGGAUAGAGCACGUCCCUUCUAAGGAUGUGGUCGUAGGUUCUUAUAUUAGGUUAA
This 70-nucleotide transfer RNA is filed under the name Vibrio brasiliensis LMG 20546. RNAcentral's name for it is "tRNA-Arg". Lineage: Bacteria; Pseudomonadati; Pseudomonadota; Gammaproteobacteria; Vibrionales; Vibrionaceae. The record is from RNAcentral.